Molecule: transfer RNA, 94 nt
Filed under: Deltaproteobacteria bacterium
Lineage: Bacteria; Pseudomonadati; Myxococcota; Myxococcia
Description: tRNA-Sec
Rfam family: Selenocysteine transfer RNA
Source: RNAcentral
GGAGGCGGUCGGGUCCUGGUGGGCCUCCUGGUCUUCAAAACCAGUGUGGGGGGUUAGAAGCCUCCCGGGCGGGUUCGAUCCCCGUGCGCCUCCG